UUGCCAGACUCCUACGGGAGGCAGCAGUGGGGAAUAUUGCACAAUGGGCGAAAGCCUGAUGCAGCGACGCCGCGUGAGUGAAGAAGUAUUUCGGUAUGUAAAGCUCUAUCAGCAGGGAAGAAAAUGACGGUACCUGACUAAGAAGCCCCGACUAACUACGUGCCAGCAGCCGCGGUAAUACGUAGGGGGCAAGCGUUAUCCGGAUUUACUGGGUGUAAAGGGAGCGUAGACGGCGGAACAAGUCAGAAGUGAAAACCCGGGGCUCAACCCUGGGAGUGCUUUUGAAACUGUUUGGCUGGAGUGCAGGAGAGGUAAGCGGAAUUCCUAGUGUAGCGGUGAAAUGCGUAGAUAUUAGGAGGAACACCAGUGGCGAAGGCGGCUUACUGGACUGUAACUGACGUUGAGGCUCGAAAGCGUGGGGAGCAAACAGGAUUAGAUACCCCAGUAU
RNAcentral lists this ribosomal RNA (448 nucleotides) under uncultured bacterium. RNAcentral describes it as "bacterial SSU rRNA". It matches the Rfam family "Bacterial small subunit ribosomal RNA", at positions 328 to 793 of the family's 1533-position model. The record is from RNAcentral.